RNAcentral lists this ribosomal RNA (483 nucleotides) under uncultured bacterium. RNAcentral describes it as "bacterial SSU rRNA". It matches the Rfam family "Bacterial small subunit ribosomal RNA", at positions 24 to 518 of the family's 1533-position model. The record is from RNAcentral.
UCAGGAUGAACGCUGGCGGCGUGCCUAACACAUGCAAGUCGAACGGAGUUACGAGAGCUUGCUUUGUAACUUAGUGGCGGACGGGUGAGUAAUGUAUGAGCAACCUGCCUUUCAGAGGGGGACAACAGUUGGAAACGACUGCUAAUACCGCAUAAUGUAUUUGGGUGGCAUCACCUGGAUACCAAAGGAGCAAUCCGGUAAGGGGUGGGCUCGCGUCCGAUUAGAUAGUUGGUGAGGUAACGGCCCACCAAGUCGACGAUCGGUAGCCGACCUGAGAGGGUGAUCGGCCACAUUGGGACUGAGACACGGCCCAAACUCCUACGGGAGGCAGCAGUGGGGAAUAUUGGGCAAUGGGGGGAACCCUUGACCCAGCAACGCCGCGUGAGGGAAGAAGGUUUUCGGAUCGUAAACCUCUGUCCUUGGUGAAGAGUUUGAGACGGUAGCCAAGGAGGAAGCCCCGGCUAACUACGUGCCAGCAGCAGC